UGAUGCACACGAGUUUCCUCACGCCCACCAGCUUUCUGCUCCGUCUCAGCUGGCUCCUUCCCGAUCAGAGCAGGAGGGGGUGUGCCUGUUUAUUGUGACAGGGGGCUCAGGGCUCUCGAGUUUGAUCAAAACAGGAGCCGUGCGGUUUUGCUCGAGGUCGCGUCCUUUCGAGAGGAAUGACAGAAGAUGAAAGGCACGACCUCCCUUUUUUUUUACGGCCGGGGCUGAAGGGGGCUAAGCUACACACCUGGUGGGGAAACCAACACCGUUUUGAUGUUGGGUGUUUGUGCGUGUUCGCUGUUGUCUUUGAAGACAACCAACCACCGGGACGCAUGAUCAAUCUCAGCCCUCAGAAGUGAACAGGUUUUUUUUUUGUCCGCUCCCUUAUCAAUCCAAUAUCAACCAGAAAUUUCCAGUUGGGUGCCCCCCCCCCCAGCUCGCAAUAAUUCGUGCACUGUUGACAUAACCCCCCCACACACAGGCCCAGGCCAGCUGAUAAAACUGUGGAGUAAAACUAAAGGUCAAGUUCGUACGCGAAACACUAUGCGCACUAACUUCCAGUUCACCAACAGUUUUCCCUGCGCAGUUACGCACGGUAUAAAACAAACAACACGUUGCACAAGUGCAGCUGGUACUGAGGCGCUACACACACACACACAGGCAGGCAGGCAGACUCCGGUGGAAAUGUGUUGCUGUCGAGACACAACCCGGCUCUGCUCUUACCUCCGAAGAGAUGCGGCGAAAGUCUGCCUUAGAGCUCUGGGGUCUGUGCUGAGUACACUGUGAGGGUGUGAGGAUUUCUAGUCUGUAACAAGUGCUGGAACGACAAACUGGAAGAAUAUGUGUCAGGCAUUCCUGAGAGCGCUGCACCAGGCCACCGUGAAAAACUACAGCUGAAAGAAAUCACUCUUUGGCUUCGCUAUCCCAGAAAAAAAAAAAAAACAGGAAAAAAAACUCUGUCAGAGUGGAUGAGUCACCUUGGAAAAUAACAACAAGCUGGAACAGAGAAUCCAUGAGGGCCAAGCGAAUACAGAACACGUAGAAGCUAGCAAUUCAGAAAGGGUGACGGGUCAAUUUCAUCCGAAACCUUCGGACCUUGUGCCUCUAUCCCACUGUUCACCUAGGGCCAUGAUCAUCUCUAACCAGUCUCAGCUCUGUGCUCAGCGCCAGCAGGGAUUCUCUAGCCUUUAGAAAGUACUGCAAGACUGGAAACAGUCAUUUGGUUUCAGGCUGAAAAGAGAAAAACACUUUAACCAAAGCAGAUGCUAGAACAAGAUAUUUGCAAUUCCCAUCUGUUCCUGUCAGAGCUGGAGGACACCACUACAAAAUUCAUGAACCAAUAUGUCAGAAAAAGCGCUCUGGACCGAACUGCAGAGACCGAAUCACGCCCGAAGAAAAACAGAACACAGCUCGUGGACGAACACGGGCUUCGACGAGUUCUGGCAGCUCUCAGGAAGAACCUCUACAUUUCAGUACAGCAUUUCCCCUCUUAAGUGACAGCCAUUAUGUACCUUUCACUUUCAAAUCUUUUUAAAUUUAGUCCCUUUGUUAUCUCAGGGGUACGGUAUUUUUUAGGACAUGACAUCCUUUUUUUUGGGACUUUGUGGGUCUUUGUCCUUGGACCCCUAGAGGUUUUUUUUCUCCUUACUAAGGAGUCUUUGGUUCCUCUCCUCCGUUGUCUUCUGGUCUUUUCU
Molecule: long non-coding RNA, 1694 nt
Organism: Lepisosteus oculatus (spotted gar)
Lineage: Eukaryota; Metazoa; Chordata; Actinopteri; Semionotiformes; Lepisosteidae
Source: RefSeq, a predicted model, not a curated record